RNAcentral lists this transfer RNA (86 nucleotides) under Bacillota bacterium. RNAcentral's name for it is "Firmicutes bacterium (hot springs metagenome) tRNA-Leu". It matches the Rfam family "tRNA". From Rfam's summary of the family: Transfer RNA (tRNA) molecules are approximately 80 nucleotides in length. Their secondary structure includes four short double-helical elements and three loops (D, anti-codon, and T loops). Further hydrogen bonds mediate the characteristic L-shaped molecular structure. tRNAs have two regions of fundamental functional importance: the anti-codon, which is responsible for specific mRNA codon recognition, and the 3' end, to which the tRNAs corresponding amino acid is attached (by aminoacyl-tRNA synthetases). tRNAs cope with the degeneracy of the genetic code in two manners: having more than one tRNA (with a specific anti-codon) for a particular amino acid; and 'wobble' base-pairing, i.e. permitting non-standard base-pairing at the 3rd anti-codon position. The record is from RNAcentral. Lineage: Bacteria; Bacillati; Bacillota.
GCCGAGAUGGCGGAACAGGUAGACGCAGGGGACUUAAAAUCCCCCGGGCUUUAAAACCCGUACCGGUUCGAGUCCGGUUCUCGGCA